Molecule: long non-coding RNA, 492 nt
Filed under: Ananas comosus (pineapple)
Lineage: Eukaryota; Viridiplantae; Streptophyta; Magnoliopsida; Poales; Bromeliaceae
Description: long non-coding RNA (ACOM_LNC000287)
Source: RNAcentral
AGCUUCUAAACAUUUGUUGUAUAAACACGUUUUAUUUGUUGAGAGGUAGGUAGCAUGCUACCCGCUUCGUUUAUUUUAUUUAAAAAUAAAUUUAGCUAGAAAUGUGAAUCAACUAGGAUUCGAACUUGAGUCUCGGAUACCAACCACCAAGCCCUUAGUCACUUGCACUAGGGACGGUCGGUUAAACACGUUUUGUUGGCUUAAAGAAGCCAGCAUACUAUCCUGUGACGGAAAGCCGGGUUGAGCCGAGUCACGUUCGAAAUGACGGGAGGCCGGGUUGAGUCCAGUUAUGUUCGAAGUGACGUGAGAUUGAUUAAGUUGAGUCACAAUCGAGACCCGUGAGCACUGUAUAUGUACACUUUAAAAAAAAUAGUUAUAUUAUUCUUACAACUCGAGCUUUUGAAAUUAACAGUUAGUGUCAACGAUCCGACACGUCGCGCUUCUUGUAAAUACUUCUUCAUUUUUUGGUCCUAAAAAUUCCUCUCUCCCUCC